Long non-coding RNA from Mauremys reevesii (Reeves's turtle), 876 nucleotides. RefSeq lists it as uncharacterized. NCBI's taxonomy places the organism in Eukaryota, Metazoa, Chordata, Testudines, Geoemydidae. The transcript has 3 exons. The record is from RefSeq and is a predicted model, not a curated record.
CACACAUCCUUUCUCUUUCUGUCCUUGCUUUUCCUUGUGCUGUCUCCCUUCGUACGACACGAGCACGUGUGCUCGGUGUGCAUCCCCACAGGGUAGGUCUCGGGGGGCCAUGAUGAAGUAGGAGGGGAUGAAAAUUGUGCAAGGUAGCGGGCGCGGGAGUGGAGGGGUGACUGUCAGUGUUAACUUGGUCUCUGUUCAUCAAGUUUGGCAGAUGUAGAUGGGCUGGAAGAGGGAGGCAGGGAUGAGGGCAAGAUUUCAAGCAUCAGUGGAGAUGUGUGUAGUGAUGGCUCAUGCUUGGCUUUUGCAGAUCCAUUUCCAGAGGAAUUUCCCAGGAGCCGUAGCCGGAGGAGAGGUUGGCAGAUGUGGACAUGAGGAAACUGAACAUCCUUCUGAGCAGACACGAACAGUCCUCGGCUUUCUGCUUCCCACAUAACUGGCUUUUGCAGAGGAAUCAUCCAGGAGCCCUCACCGAACGAGAAUAUGCAGAAGUGGAUGUGAGCAGCCUGGACAUCCUUCUAAGGAGACCUCAACAGUCCUCAGGUUUCUGCCUUCUGCCUAACUGGCUUAGCAAGAGAAAAGAAGUCACAGGCCAGAGUCUACUGCCCUCGUGCAAUGGAAAGAGAGCAAGAGCGAUGAGUCUGCAAGCGUUGUUGAUGCGACGCAGAAGGCGUCCAUCUGGGAGCGGAACCGCCACCACUCUCAAUGAGAUAAGUGUCUUCUUUGGUGAUCGCUCUGCUCAAGGCCCAUCUUGCUCCCGGUAGGGACGCCCCGUUAGCUGGGGCUGGGUUUGUAAGAAAAGGUUCCUGACUAGUUGUGGUUACAAGGGAGACGAUGUCCCCAUUUUCAGGGGCUGCUCAUGUCUCUGGCCAGGACCAG